UGUGCUAUGUGGGGAGGUAGCGGAUCCCUGUAACCCUAAAUCCGCUAUAUUGGGGCAGACCACUUUUCUAGAUAUUAGGUAUGGAAGGACUGAUAGAAAUAAGCGAUGUUGAUACCAAGGUCUUGUGCAAUUGGAACUUGUGAACCAUGUCAGAGCCUGACCGCAGCAGCAUUAAGCAAGACAACCAGUGUGCCACAAGGUAGCUUUGGAGUAGUUGGCUACUUUUA
This 227-nucleotide signal recognition particle RNA is filed under the name human gut metagenome. Its description in RNAcentral is "Bacterial large signal recognition particle RNA". It matches the Rfam family "Bacterial large signal recognition particle RNA", at positions 3 to 224 of the family's 256-position model. From Rfam's summary of the family: The signal recognition particle (SRP) is a universally conserved ribonucleoprotein involved in the co-translational targeting of proteins to membranes. Archaeal SRP consists of a 7S RNA and homologues of the eukaryotic SRP19 and SRP54 proteins. The record is from RNAcentral.